This 450-nucleotide ribosomal RNA is filed under the name uncultured bacterium. RNAcentral's name for it is "partial 16S ribosomal RNA". It matches the Rfam family "Bacterial small subunit ribosomal RNA", at positions 338 to 795 of the family's 1533-position model. The record is from RNAcentral.
CCUACGGGAGGCUGCAGUGGGGAAUCUUGCGCAAUGGCCGAAAGGCUGACGCAGCGACGCCGCGUGGAGGAUGACGCCCUUCGGGGUGUAAACUCCUGUUGCCCGGGACGAAUGCCUGUUUCGACAGGAGUGACGGUACCGGGUGAGGAAGCACCGGCUAACUCUGUGCCAGCAGCCGCGGUAAGACGUAGGGGGCGAGCGUUGUUCGGAUUUAGUGGGCGUAAAGCACGCGUAGGCGUAUGGCUGUGUCGAAAUCCCUCGGCUUAACCGAGGUACCGCAUCCGAUACUGUCUGGCUCGAGUCUAGGAGAGGAAAGCGGAAUUCCCAGUGUAGCGGUGAAAUGCGUAGAUAUUGGGAGGAACACCGGUGGCGAAGGCGGCUUUCCGGACUAGUACUGACGCUGAGGCGCGAAAGCUAGGGGAGCGAACGGGAUUAGAUACCCUGGUAGUC